This 981-nucleotide long non-coding RNA is filed under the name Capsicum annuum. RNAcentral describes it as "long non-coding RNA (CANN_LNC000406)". Lineage: Eukaryota; Viridiplantae; Streptophyta; Magnoliopsida; Solanales; Solanaceae. The record is from RNAcentral.
AUUUUUGUGCUAUUAGAAGAAAAGGUAUGCAAUAAUUUUUUUAGUAUUCAUGCUUUUGUACAUUUCUUUGAAUCUUAAUAUUCAUGCUACUAUAUUGAAAUACAAUGUUCAUUCUUUACACUAGAAAUUUAUUGGUUAAGAAUGUCUUUUACCGAUAUUCGACCCACUUAUUUAAGUUUAUAGACAUUGAAAGUGUUUGGAAAUAAUUUUUUUACUCCAUUAUAUCAUACGAAUGCAAUAGGAAAACUAUUAUGUUAGUUGUUUUAAACAACAUUUAAAUUUUUGGAUGAAGGCAAAACAAUUGACAAUGCAAGGGCAAGGAUGACAUCUUGGCACAAGUAAAAUAUUUUGAGAUGCCAUUUUAAGAAUUCAAAUUGAUCUAAUCCUAAUAGAAAUUAUGAUAUAUCUUCAGAGAAGUGAACAUCAAUGUGUUUUAGAUGUAACAUAUAUCUACAUUUAAUAAUCAAUUGAAAUAUUCAAAAAAUCAAUUAAGUGGUGGACUUUUUGUUUAUACAAUAUUUCAGAUUUGAAUUUAACUGUGGUUAUGAAACUCUUUAAUGUUACAAAACAAGUAGUUAUUUCUGCAGGAAAUAUGAAUAAAAUGAUUGCUUGUGAUCGGAUGAUGAAAUUGGAGCAGGCUUAUAUUAUUUUCUUUAUAUUGUGUAUGUCAUUAGCAAAUUCAUGCAAGACAUACCCUCCCGUAGUAGAGCAUAACUGUUAUUGUGCGUGUAUUGACUUCUCUAUCAAUGCAAGAGAUGCUGCAGCUACACCGGAGGUUGGAGAACUGUGUAGAGAAGGAUCAUUUCUAGACUUCAAUUGUGACCUUAAGGAUGCAUAUGAUGAGGCUGUUGAUAAAACACCUUUCCUAGAUUUAGAACCUGCAGAAUGUCCUCAGUAUUAUAUUUAGACUAUAUUCACAUGCUUUUAUAUAAUUUUACAUCUUUAUUUAUUUUUCAAAUAAAAAUAACUUUAUAAUGUCAU